GAUGCGGUAGGCUUUUCCAACUCUGCGUUUUAGGUUUAAAGUUGCCUAUCCUAUACGACCUCUAUUAGUGGACUAGCAACUAAUUGAUUCCCUCCCUCCUAUUAGUGGGCUUAACAACUAAUUGAUUUUCUCCCUCCUGUUGGUGGACUUAACAACUAAUUGAUUUUCUCUUCUUUAGCAUAUCAAUGACCUUGACAAUAAAUGGAUAAUGCUGCCUGGUCUUGUGUGGUACCCUGUUUCCCUAGGUUACUCUACUUCCUC
Molecule: unclassified non-coding RNA, 261 nt
Filed under: Hevea brasiliensis (rubber tree)
Lineage: Eukaryota; Viridiplantae; Streptophyta; Magnoliopsida; Malpighiales; Euphorbiaceae
Source: RNAcentral